This 680-nucleotide ribosomal RNA is filed under the name Macroconia sp. CL-2015b. Its description in RNAcentral is "eukaryotic LSU rRNA". It matches the Rfam family "Eukaryotic large subunit ribosomal RNA", at positions 85 to 797 of the family's 3401-position model. The record is from RNAcentral. Lineage: Eukaryota; Fungi; Ascomycota; Sordariomycetes; Hypocreales; Nectriaceae.
UACGGCGAGUGAGCGGCAACAGCUCAAAUUUGAAAUCUGGCCUUCGGGUCCGAGUUGUAAUUUGUAGAGGAUGCUUUUGGWGCGGUGCCUUCCGAGUUCCCUGGAACGGGACGCCAUAGAGGGUGAGAGCCCCGUCUGGUUGGACACUAAUCCUCUGUAAAGCUCCUUCGACGAGUCGAGUAGUUUGGGAAUGCUGCUCUAAAUGGGAGGUAUAUGUCUUCUAAAGCUAAAUAUUGGCCAGAGACCGAUAGCGCACAAGUAGAGUGAUCGAAAGAUGAAAAGCACUUUGAAAAGAGGGUUAAACAGUACGUGAAAUUGUUGAAAGGGAAGCGUUUAUGACCAGACUUGGGCCCGGUUAAUCAUCCAGCGUUCUCGCUGGUGCACUUGGCCGGCCCAGGCCAGCAUCAGUUCGGCGUGGGGGAUAAAGGCUCGGGGAAUGUGGCUCCUCCGGGAGUGUUAUAGCCCCUUGCGUAAUACCCUGUACCGGACUGAGGUUCGCGCAUUUGCAAGGAUGCUGGCGUAAUGGUCAUCAGCGACCCGUCUUGAAACACGGGACCAAGGAGUCGUCUUCGUAUGCGAGUGUUCGGGUGUCAAACCCCUACGCGUAAUGAAAGUGAACGCAGGUGAGAGCUUCGGCGCAUCAUCGACCGAUCCUGAUGUUCUCGGAUGGAUUUGAGUAA